Molecule: ribosomal RNA, 244 nt
Filed under: uncultured bacterium
Lineage: Bacteria
Description: partial 16S ribosomal RNA
Rfam family: Bacterial small subunit ribosomal RNA
Source: RNAcentral
CGGACCGGCGCACGGGUGAGUAACGCGUAUGCAACUUACCUAUCAGGAGGGGGAGUACCGGCGAAAGUCGGACUAAUACCGCAUAAAGCAGGGAUCCCGCAUGGGAAUAUUUGCUAAAGAUUCAUCGCUGAUAGAUAGGCAUGCGUUCCAUUAGGCAGUUGGCGGGGUAACGGCCCACCAAACCGACGAUGGAUAGGGGUUCUGAGAGGAAGGUCCCCCACAUUGGUACUGAGACACGGACCAA